Molecule: ribosomal RNA, 800 nt
Filed under: Pseudomonas sp. F010
Lineage: Bacteria; Pseudomonadati; Pseudomonadota; Gammaproteobacteria; Pseudomonadales; Pseudomonadaceae
Description: bacterial SSU rRNA
Rfam family: Bacterial small subunit ribosomal RNA
Source: RNAcentral
AAGUGGCGGGCGGUCUAACCAUGCAAGUCGAGCGGUAGAGAGAAGCUUGCUUCUCUUGAGAGCGGCGGACGGGUGAGUAAUGCCUAGGAAUCUGCCUAGUGGUGGGGGAUAACGUUCGGAAACGGACGCUAAUACCGCAUACGUCCUACGGGAGAAAGCGGGGGAUCUUCGGACCUCGCGCCAUUAGAUGAGCCUAGGUCGGAUUAGCUGGUUGGUGAGGUAAUGGCUCACCAAGGCGACGAUCCGUAACUGGUCUGAGAGGAUGAUCAGUCACACUGGAACUGAGACACGGUCCAGACUCCUACGGGAGGCAGCAGUGGGGAAUAUUGGACAAUGGGCGAAAGCCUGAUCCAGCCAUGCCGCGUGUGUGAAGAAGGUCUUCGGAUUGUAAAGCACUUUAAGUUGGGAGGAAGGGUAGUAACCUAAUACGUUGCUACUUUGACGUUACCGACAGAAUAAGCACCGGCUAACUUCGUGCCAGCAGCCGCGGUAAUACGAAGGGUGCAAGCGUUAAUCGGAAUUACUGGGCGUAAAGCGCGCGUAGGUGGUUCAGUAAGUUGGAAGUGAAAUCCCCGGGCUCAACCUGGGAACUGCUUUCAAAACUGCUGAGCUAGAGUACGGUAGAGGGUGGUGGAAUUUCCUGUGUAGCGGUGAAAUGCGUAGAUAUAGGAAGGAACACCAGUGGCGAAGGCGACCACCUGGACUGAUACUGACACUGAGGUGCGAAAGCGUGGGGAGCAAACAGGAUUAGAUACCCUGGUAGUCCACGCCGUAAACGAUGUCAACUAGCCGUUGGAAUC